Molecule: long non-coding RNA, 1169 nt
Organism: Myotis myotis
Lineage: Eukaryota; Metazoa; Chordata; Mammalia; Chiroptera; Vespertilionidae
Exons: 3
Source: RefSeq, a predicted model, not a curated record
AAAAAGAGAGAGAUGAGAUCAAUCACCAAGCCUUGAACGUGGGCUGGCCUUUGGACCUGCUCUGGCCAACAGUGUGGCGGAAGUGAUGUGUGCGUUCCGAGGCUCCGCCUACGGAGACCUGGCAGACUUUACUCUCUGCCCAGCUGCCAUGUGAAGAGGCCGGGCUAGCCUGUCAGAGGGCAAGAGACACAUGCCUGUCACCGCCAUCAUCACAGCUCACAGCCACCCACGCCUGGAAGUAGAGCCACCUCCUCAGCUGACCUACAGCUGACCACAGGCACCCAGAUGCUGCAACCACGUCUCGGACCCCCCCAGACCUUCCCCGGGCGACCUUUCCACUCCCCUGGGAUGGAGGGAAGUCUGUGACUGCUGCAACCAGGGCAGCGCACAGACGGGCCACUAGGUGACUUCCGAGGCGAGUCACCUGCAACUCAGGCAACUCAGUUCCUGCCUUGUCCACUGGGACAUCGGACCCGAAAGCUAUCAGAAAGGAGCCUGACUCCCCUGAGGCCGCCCUGCUGGGGGGACGCCAAAGCUUGUCGCCUGAAGAGACCACGAGCGGGCACUCUGGCUGAUGGUCGUAUCUGGAGUCACCCCAGCCCAGUGCCCAGAGAGUGUGUGGACAGGCCUCUGCCCCCACCUGUGAGUCUCCCAGCCCAGACCCAACGUCGUGGAGCAGAGGCCCAUGGGGUCAAAUUCCAGGCGGUCAUUGGACUGGGAAACCGGGAGUUCGACUGCUCGCAUGAGGUUCGCUGACCACCAGGGCGCGGCGCGGAACAUGACGGGCAUCGGGGACGUGCGGCUCUCUCGCUGUCUACCGAGGGGCGGGGUGACUGGGGCGGAGGGGCGGAGGUGCGGUGAGAAGGCGGGGUGUCCGCUGAGCUCCCUCUCACUCCUCCCUGCUACCCUCCCCCGGAACGCCAGGGCUCGUGCUGGGGAAGCCCCCGCACUCAGGUGCGGCCCAGCUCACCCACGGGGCCUCUUCCAGGUGAGCCGGCCGCAGCUGCCGGGACCACAGGGCUGGUCGGGCUCCCCGUGGGGAGAGAGCGUGCUGCCCACCCAGCUUCUGUGUGGCACCGCUGGGUGGCCCAGAGCCCGCCGCUGUGCCCCGGCCCGCCGCAUCUGGCCACGCUCACCGCAUCUCCAUGUGGGGACUCGGGCACUGUAAU